CUGUCAAAAUAUAAAAUAUUUCUCAAAUAUGGUUUGUUUAUGUAACAUACCCAGUGUGAGCCAUAACAAUUAGAGGGUUGAAAAUUAAUUAUACCUGAUUCAUCUUUUUCAAUUUUUUUGGGUAACAAGUCAAUUGCAAAAACACCUCGAAAAUUUCGCGUAGCUUCAUGAGGCGAACCCGAAUUUUUCAUAAUAUCAGAUAUUUCUAUAUUACUUAAACCCGAUUUCCUAUCAAUUUUAUUCCUUGUCCAUAUGUCUUCGUCUUUGGGUUUGUGAUUAUGUUCAUAUAAUUGUUUUCUAAUAAAUCACGGAAAUAAUUAACUGUAAUUAUGAUAACUCUUAUUUUUAACUGUUGAAGAAAAAAUUUAUUUUGGUACUUUAUUCAUUGUCCCAAUAUACUACUUUGGAACAACCGAAAAUUUUAUUAAAUGAAUUGGUUUAACAUCGUUUCUUAAUUAAUUCAUUUCCCACAAAAAUUUGACCAAAAUAUUAUUUGAAUAAUAAAAUAACCCACAGAACAAAAUAACCAAUGUGCCCCUCUUUCUAUGCGUUCUAUUGCGUGCGCGUCUACGCUUCUGCGCGUAGCUUCCGUGAAAAACGUGCAGUAGUGUAUGGUAUGGUAUGGUUUAGCGUGCCUUGCAUCCGCCAUAUGUCUUUAGAUGGAACGUUAGUACAAUAUCCGAAUAUUGAGAACAAUGAAUUGCCCAUGUUAAUUGGGUGUCCUUUUGAAACGACCAUCGACGAUGCCAAAAACUACUUCUUACGUUAUUGCUACAAGGAUGUGGUUAUUAAUGACAUCGUGCCGUGGAAACGGAAUUGUCAACCGUCGUGUGCAUGGAGGGUCGUAUAUAAAACUAGCGGCUAGCCCUUGCCGGUCUACAAAUUUUCGCUCAGUCGAAAUGUUGCGAGCGAGGUCGGAACAGUACGAACGGAGACCAUAACGGACUUCUCAUUUCAGCUGGGCAUAUUGGAAUAGUGGUUUUUAUGGAAAUAUGUUGCGCGUGGCUGGGGCUUCGCCCCAGUUAACUAAAAGGAAACAAACCCCACGACCAAUUAAACUCGAAAACGUGGAACUCGAAACGUGGAAUAGUGUUUUUUUAUGGAGCUAGGGUGGCGUACAGUUCAUAAACAUAAACACUAUUCCACGUUUCGAGUUCCACGUUUUCGAGUUUAAUUGGUCGUGGGGUUUGUUUCCUUUUAGUUAACUGGGGCGAAGCCCCAGCCACGCGCAACAUAUUUCCAUAAAAACCACUAUUCCAAUAUGCCCAUCAAUGCCGAUUGUUAAUGUAAUUAUUUUUAAAAUACUCAGAAAACUCUUUAGACUUAACCAGCCCAGCUGAAAUGAGAAGUCCGUUAUGGUCUCCGUUCGUACUGUUCCGACCUCGCUCGCAACAUUUCGACUGAGCGAACAUUUGUAGACCGGCAAGGGCUAGCCGCUAGUGUAUAUAAAUUAAAAGAUCCAACUCCCGUGGAGGAUUUCUGCAUUCCUUUACCAGAGGGCGAUGAAGAAUUAAACAAAUUAUUUGCUAAUAUAACCCCCAUGAGUGUUGGAAUGACAGUAGCCACCAAAGGAUAUACUUAUGAUAAAACCUAUGCUUUAGUGAAUUAUAUGCCAAGGAGUUGCCCUUGUCCUUCCUACACAGGAUUUUAGUGAGACCGCAAAGCUGAUGAUACCUCGUAUGCGGUCAGUUACAGAGAAAGUAUGCCUUACUUUCGGCAAUAUAACAUUGUAAUUUAAUUAUUUUUUGUUAUUAGAAAGUGAAAUUAAGUUUUUAUAUAUAAUA
This is a long non-coding RNA of Tribolium castaneum (red flour beetle), 1784 nucleotides long. RefSeq lists it as uncharacterized. Lineage: Eukaryota; Metazoa; Arthropoda; Insecta; Coleoptera; Tenebrionidae. The transcript is spliced from 2 exons. The record is from RefSeq and is a predicted model, not a curated record.